CCUACGGGAGGCAGCAGUGGGGAAUAUUGGACAAUGGGCGCAAGCCUGAUCCAGCAAUGCCGCGUGUGUGAAGAAGGUCUUCGGAUUGUAAAGCACUUUCGACGGGGACGAUGAUGACGGUACCCGUAGAAGAAGCCCCGGCUAACUUCGUGCCAGCAGCCGCGGUAAUACGAAGGGGGCUAGCGUUGCUCGGAAUGACUGGGCGUAAAGGGCGCGUAGGCGGAUUGUACAGUCAGAUGUGAAAUUCCCGGGCUCAACCUGGGGGCUGCAUUUGAUACGUGCGAUCUUGAGUUCGGAAGAGGGUCGUGGAAUUCCCAGUGUAGAGGUGAAAUUCGUAGAUAUUGGGAAGAACACCGGUGGCGAAGGCGGCGACCUGGUCCGAUACUGACGCUGAGGCGCGAAAGCGUGGGGAGCAAACAGGAUUAGAUACCCUGGUAGUCCACGCUGUAAACGAUGUGUGCUGGAUGUUGGGUGACAUAGUCACUCAGUGUCGUAGCUAACGCGAUAAGCACACCGCCUGGGGAGUACGGCCGCAAGGUUGAAACUCAAAUGAAUUGACGG
This 561-nucleotide ribosomal RNA is filed under the name uncultured bacterium. RNAcentral describes it as "bacterial SSU rRNA". It matches the Rfam family "Bacterial small subunit ribosomal RNA", at positions 338 to 916 of the family's 1533-position model. The record is from RNAcentral.